CGGAGGGUGCGAGCGUUGUCCGGAAUCACUGGGCGUAAAGGGCGCGUAGGCGGCGCGGGUAGUCAACGGUGAAAGCUCAGGGCUCAACCCUGAGUCGGCCGUCGAUACUCCCGUGCUCGAGCACUGUAGAGGCAGGUGGAAUUCCGGGUGUAGCGGUGGAAUGCGUAGAGAUCCGGAAGAACACCGGUGGCGAAGGCGGCCUGCUGGGCAGUAGCUGACGCUGAUGCGCGACAGCGUGGGGAGCAAACAGGAUUAGAUACCCUGGUAGUCCACGCCGUAAACGAUGGGUACUAGGUGCUUGGGGGAGCGACCCCCUGAGUGCCGGCGUUAACGCAUUAAGUACCCCGCCUGGGGAGUACGGCCGCAAGGCUG
This 372-nucleotide ribosomal RNA is filed under the name uncultured organism. RNAcentral describes it as "bacterial SSU rRNA". It matches the Rfam family "Bacterial small subunit ribosomal RNA", at positions 526 to 896 of the family's 1533-position model. The record is from RNAcentral.